UUGGAUUUAACCUAUGCAGACAAUUUAGCUAAUCAUCUGGACAAUCCUAUUUGCUAAUGGGCAUUCUCUAAGUCGACAGUCCAUGUAAAGUUAUGACUCUUUCCCUUUUCAAGGAAGUCUAGUGUCGGCACACACUACAAGGUGGUGUUAUGACCUCCAAGAAGUUAGUAUAAUAACUUUCUUGUCAAUAGCUAGCUAUGUAAGUAUAACAUCAACCUUUCUUACCAAUCACAUGUGGUCGCUAACCUUUUCUACUAACAUCCACAACACUUAAACUCUCGUUCUUUUGGUUAUAUAUUCUCGCUUCUUGAAUCAAAGAUUUCCUUAUUUUUGAAUAAGAGAUUUGCUUUUGCAGGGGAGAAGCAGCCGUGGAAAGCACAUCUCAAGUUUUCACGACUUCAUCAACGGGGAACACUUCUUUGCUUUGCAACGGGAAUGCUACCAUCAGGACGAGAGGUCACUGGCAUGCACAUUUUGAAUACAAGCCUUACACUUCUUACUAUAAUUUUAUGUGCUCCAUUAUCCAAGUAAUUAUGCUAGGCAUUAAUCAAUUCUCUUACAGGGGUUCUAUCUAUUUUAUCAACAUGAAUAUCUGUGAAUUCAGACAACAUUGCCCUGAACUCAUCCCCAGAGAGGGUUUCCUUUUCUAGCAGCACCUCCAC
This 662-nucleotide long non-coding RNA is filed under the name Populus trichocarpa (black cottonwood). Its description in RNAcentral is "long non-coding RNA (PTRI_LNC003840)". The record is from RNAcentral. Lineage: Eukaryota; Viridiplantae; Streptophyta; Magnoliopsida; Malpighiales; Salicaceae.